This 322-nucleotide long non-coding RNA is filed under the name Junco hyemalis (dark-eyed junco). Its description in RNAcentral is "lncRNA (ENSJHYG00000006530.1)". Lineage: Eukaryota; Metazoa; Chordata; Aves; Passeriformes; Passerellidae. The record is from RNAcentral.
CUGAUCCAGCAGCAAGCCCUCCGAGGACACCAGUGACUCUGGCUGAUGCUCCCCUGUCCCAUCCUCAGCACGUGAUGCCUUAAAAAUGCUUCAGACUUGCAUGAGGAUAUGUGGAGCCCCUGGAUUUUGUCCAGCCACUCAGAACAAGGCAUUCAGUCGCCUGUCUUUAGCUCCCUGGCACCAGUCAUGAGGCAGUGCUGACAGACUCUUCAAAGUCUCGUGGUUUGGGUCUGUUCAGGGAAAAAAAAUAGUGUCUCUUGCCACUCAUCAGAUAUGCUGGAGGGCUCAAAAAAAUAGACAUGGAAAAGCAAUGGCCAUGGCU